GAGGAGAUCUUGAGAAACAGUGGUAAUUUUGCUGUAAUUGUAUGUGUGCCACUCCCCGGCCCUGAAGGGCAUGAGCAAGAAAGACUGAAAGUUGUGAAAUGUACCAGGGAAGACACUGCGGUUCUGUGGUGACAGUGGAAAUGAACAUCUCAAAAGCUGGGUGAUGGCUCAGCUGGACCCAGCAUGUUAGCAACCCUGUGUUUGAACAGAAGGAAAUGAAAAAUAAAGUAGAAGGACAAGGGAAGGAAAUUGGGAUCUCUUUUCAUGGAGGCACAGAAUGAAACGAGGUCUAAACUAGACAGGGUCUCACUGUGUCAUCCAGGCUGGAAUGCAGUGGCACAAUCAUAGCUCUCUGCAGCCUCAAACUCCUGGGCUCAAGCAAUCCUCCCCACUGAGCCUCCAGAGUAGCUGGGACUACAGAGUUAAAGAAGACUUGAAAGAAGGGGAUGUGAGUGGCAGGAAAAUCCCCAGUGACCAGCCCUGAACCUUCUGCCAGCACAGCUCACCUCCUCCCCAAAUGUCUCCCAAUAGGAUCUCAGCCCUAAACAAGCACAGGGCGUGGGGUGGUACAGUUGAUGAUGUAGCUGCUUCUGAGAUGCCCCUGGGUGCUGCUGGAGCUAAGCCCUGGGACUGGAAUGACUUUUGCCCGCAGCCCUCAAAAUUCCCACAUGCCACACCACUACCGUCUCUUGGGUAAAGUAGGAGGG
RNAcentral lists this non-coding RNA (707 nucleotides) under Pongo abelii (Sumatran orangutan). Lineage: Eukaryota; Metazoa; Chordata; Mammalia; Primates; Hominidae. The record is from RNAcentral.